AGCUCCUGGCUUCUCUCCACCCCCACUCUGCUUCCCACUGGCUUUAGGACCUGGAGGGCUGGGUAUGCUGGCCAGCCUAGAGUCAUCAGAUGCCAGGCUGCCUUCUUGGGCCCCUGACCUGUUCUCCACACAAUCCCUGGCAGAGCAGGGCCCCGCCUGGAGACCUUCCUUCAUGAAUGACAGAAGACUUCUGCAGAGAGAGAGAGAGAGAAAAAAAAAAACAAAAACAAAAAAAACCAAACCAACACGUUUGAAGGACUAAGGUACAAAUGGAAGCAACAAUACGUUCCGUCAGCAAACAGGCAACGGGGACCUCCAGCACCCCCAGGUCUGUCCCAGGUGUGUGAGGGAUGAUGGCCUUACCCCAGGGGCGAUGUGGAGCCUUCACACACGUGAGAAGGACUGGACUCAGCUGGGCCGGCUGUCUCUGCAGUAGGUGGUCUCGGAGGUCUGGCACUGAUAACUGUUGCCUGACUGUGGUAGCUAGGCACUUAACUCCUGACCUGAGAGCUGGCGAUGACUGGUGGGAAUGGGAACUUCUUGGGAGGAUGAUUAGGGUCCCUAGUGAAGUCUCCUGGGUUCUCUCUACCUGCAGGCUGGCCUCACCUGUCCACUCUGGACAACUCCCAGACCUGGUAUCUGUGCCCAAGAGCUCUGGGCAGUGCCCAUUGCAGGAGAAGCACCAUAGUGUCAUCCUAGUCCCUCUGGUACAGGUUUCUGGGAAGCGAUUACAUCUCUGCAGAUCUCGGGAGGGAUAAAGUCUGGCCCAAACCAGAGGUUAGGCUUUGGACACAUUCUUUCUCUCUCUCUCUCUCUCUCUCUCUCUCUCUCUCUCUCUCUCUCUCUCUCUCUCUCUCUCUCUCUCCUGAGAUUGUAAGGAAGAAGGGGGGAAAAUGAGUGAAAAAUUGCCCCAUCUGGAUUGUGCAGGGAGAAGCAAUUUCCUCUCCAAAUCUCUUUUUCUGGUUCUCAGAAGAUGCAAUUUGGAAAUGUCCCAGUGGCUCUGGCCAGGGUGUGGGCCAGUUCACUUACACCACCUAGGGAAGGGGUUGGAGGACCAUGCUGAGAUAUGAGGAAGGUCUUGGCAGACAGCAGCGGUGUGCUGGGGAGACUUCCAAGCUUGAAUGGCGUGGUAACUAGCACCCACAAAAGACCCUGUUCUGGAGUCUGUAACUUGGGAGAUUGUGUGGACAGAAGAACAAGCCCCCAUUAUAGGCCAGUACUUUGCAAGCCUCCUUAACUGGCAGGUUUUCUGGGUGCUGGGCAGACAGGUAGUAUCUUGGAGGCAUUGUCAGCCAUCCAGGGUCCUGGUAUGGGGUAUCAGAGACACCCGGACGAGCUCUGAGCCCUCCCUGCCGUGUGCUGCCGUGUGUUGUGUGAACUGGGGCCACUCUGCAGUACUGUCGUUUCAGAGAUCUCAGGAAAUGGCUAUGACAGCCCAGCCUGGAGAGCCACAGGCUUCCUUAGGCAAGGCAGGACGUGACAACUGAGACUCUAAGGGUCCUGUCAGGAGCCUUCCCUUCCCUUUGACAUGAUGCUGACCCUGUAGCCUGAAUAUAUCACCUGUCCUUCAACUAGCCCAGAACCAGCUCCUGCCUCCAAGCAACUAAACCAUCACCUUGCUAUUCACCCACACUGCCGACCGGUCUACAUCCUGCCAUCUGGUCAAACUAUAGUUUUCUAAGCUAUAGAGCAAACUGCUCAUCAAAUAGGAAACCCACCCACCAAUCGACUUGCUAGUCAGUCUAUUCCUUCUUCAUCCUUUCACCCUAGCUAAUCUACCAACCAAUCCAUCUGUCACCCAUUUCCCCACUGUCCAAUCAGGAGUGAGGUUCUACGUGAUGGCGGCGACAGAGAAGAUUGAAUGUAAAGACCUAUAGGCUAGAGAUAUGACAGUUCAUAAAGUGCCUACAAGGUAUACUGGAGUCUGGGUUUCGAUUCUCGACACCUCCUAAACUGGGAGUGGUAGUGACCUGUAGUCCUGGUACUCACAACCUGGAGGCUGGAUGAUCAGAAGUUCAAAGUCAACCUAAGAUACAUGAGACCCCAUCUUAAAAUUAAAGCAAAAGUCAAACUACCACCCAAACCUCGAAAGAACUAUUAAUUAUAGAAGAUUUUCUACCAUCAUAAGGGAUUGUAUGCCUUCUCUCAGAAGUACAGAAAAGCUGGGCCAUGGACCAGUGGUAGAGCACUUUCCUAGUGUCUGGAAGGUUGGAUUAAAUCAGAAGGGACUCCUCCCAUCCCAGCAGUCCCAGGACAUAGAUCUGAGCCUUGUCUGGGAAGGGACAGCCAGCCUUCUGGGUGUCUGGAGUGUGAUGAGGUCCCACAUUGCUGCUGGAGGGACUGGAAGCUGUUUACUGUGGAUGCCUGUGGGGCACUGGUAGAGAAUCCUUUUCUUCAACAGAGUCCUUCCAGCCCCACAUCCCACAGAGCUGAACGAAGAGCCAGGAGGUUUGUUCUACAUCAGGCAGACAACAGAAAGGACUUCCAGUCCAGAUCAGGGGGCUCAUGAAUCUAAUUCUCUGUGGGCCGUCAGGAAGAACUUCACACACAUCUGUGUUGGAUGUCAGGUUGACCAGGGAAGAGUCAGGGCAUAACUGUAAUGACCUUUCCUAACCUUGCUAAAGUGGCCCAGGUCUACCUGCUCCUAGGUUCCCAUCGACGGCUCAAGCACCAUUAAGUCUCUUGGAAUAAAAAUCUAACUUCAGAAUC
RNAcentral lists this long non-coding RNA (2709 nucleotides) under Mus musculus (house mouse). RNAcentral describes it as "predicted gene, 39323". Lineage: Eukaryota; Metazoa; Chordata; Mammalia; Rodentia; Muridae. The record is from RNAcentral.